CAGCCACUCAGCAUUUAUUAUCGGCGGGGCGGGCGGCUGGCAAAGCAAGUGCAGCGGGAGGUACAGGAUUGUUCUGCAGGCUGGGGUCCGAUCGCAUGUUCAGCAAUCACAAUGUUGAGCAAGCCUGGAGUGUGGGGAGUGCCGGACAUUAGGGGGUGCCUGUGCGCACCAGGCACCCCCCGUGAGCACGCCUAUGCUCUUACUGAUAAAUACCCCUUUACUUACACAGAUACCACUUAUUGACACACAUACAUACUUACUGACAAACACCACUUACUGACACAGAUAAAACUUACUGACACGGACUCCCAUUACUGACAGACACCCCUUACCGACACAGAUACCCCUAACUGACAAAAACAUUGACACAUACUUAUUGACACAAACACACUUACUGAUAGAAACCCCAUACUGACACACACCAAUUACUGACAGACAUUACACACACACACACACACACACACACACACACACACACACACACACACACUUACUGACAGAGACCACUUACUGAAAUAUGGGGAGAGGGUGACCUCCAGGCCUGGUGUGCGCUGCACCCGAACAGGUGCACGUCUGCUCCGCUGUGAAAUCCACGACCCAGCUCUCUUCGCAGAAAUCCACGAUCCAGCCUACUCACCAGGGUGGCUUUUUUCCAUUUGCCGUCGGAGCUGUGUAUCAGGGUAUCACAGAAGGCGAGAGAUGUAAGAGCAGAGAGAAGACGAGUAAUAGAUCUGAGACAGGCAAUUCACGGCUCAGUAUGCUUCAUGUUUUACAACAGCUGGAGCACCACAGGUUACCCAGAACUGGCAUAGAAGAAGGCACCACCUCAUAUGUAAUACCAGUCAUACAUUUGUUUUCCUAAGAGGGCCAGCAAUACAGGUGACAUGGACCCAGGGGAUUAUGGGAAAGGUCCUCUCCAUGAAUGGCUCCUUCCAAACAUCGUUCUACAUAUCAAAUCAACAGAGUAAUGCCUGAUAUGAUUUUCCGCCAUUUAUUGAGCUGCUUUAUAAUCGCCUGUCCAUCGGAAGAAUGAAACAGUGCGGUGUGAGAUGUAAUUACAGAGAGACGUGCACCUGAAUAUCUACAUUCCAUUACUGCAGAUCAGGACACAGAAACAGAGCGGAGGAAGAAGUAAAAGCAUGAACUGAGGAAUAUUGCUGAUGAAUGUGGAACUUGCCACGGCUGGCUUAGCUUUGUAUCGAUUAAAGAGCGACGAGGAAAGUCAUAUUUUUCCUUAUUUAGUUAAGCAGUUUAGUAAUGUGCAUU
Pseudophryne corroboree (corroboree frog) is the source of this 1266-nucleotide long non-coding RNA. RefSeq lists it as uncharacterized. NCBI's taxonomy places the organism in Eukaryota, Metazoa, Chordata, Amphibia, Anura, Myobatrachidae. The record is from RefSeq and is a predicted model, not a curated record. The transcript has 3 exons.